This 31-nucleotide non-coding RNA is filed under the name Rattus norvegicus (Norway rat). Lineage: Eukaryota; Metazoa; Chordata; Mammalia; Rodentia; Muridae. The record is from RNAcentral.
UCCACAUUGGUGUCUACCAUGAGAUUCUACU